UAGGAAAGAGUUCCAGUGUGUCCAGAUGCAU
Molecule: non-coding RNA, 31 nt
Filed under: Mus musculus (house mouse)
Lineage: Eukaryota; Metazoa; Chordata; Mammalia; Rodentia; Muridae
Source: RNAcentral